UGCCACCUGAAUCAUAUAAGUGGUAAGUCCUGCCCAGUGAAAUUUUCAACGGCCGCGGUAUCCUAACCGUGCAAAGGUAGCAUAAUCACUUGCCCAUUAAUUGUGGGCUAGAAUGAACGGAUAAACGAGGGCGCCUCUGUCUCCUUUGAGUCUAUAAAAAUUAAUCUUUAAGUGAAGAAGCUUAAAUUAUAUCGCAGGACAAGAAGACCCUAUAGAGCUUUACCUUAUAAAUAUGUCAAAAAUAUUUACGGUUCGGUUGGGGCGACCAAGGGACAUUAAUCACCCUAAAUUAACAAGAUCUACCAAUCAACUCAUAGAUCCUACCUUUAGAUCAAUGAACCUAGCUACCUUAGGGAUAACAGGCUAAUUCCCCUAGAGAGCCCUUAUCAAUAGGGGAGGUUGGCACCUCGAUGUUGGCUUAGGAUUUCUUCAUGAAGUAGCAAUCAUGACAAGAUGGUUUGUUCAACCAUUAAUAUCCU
Molecule: ribosomal RNA, 479 nt
Filed under: Baikalodrilus digitatus group sp. 10 PJM-2019
Lineage: Eukaryota; Metazoa; Annelida; Clitellata; Tubificida; Naididae
Description: partial large subunit ribosomal RNA
Rfam family: Bacterial large subunit ribosomal RNA
Source: RNAcentral